RNAcentral lists this ribosomal RNA (309 nucleotides) under uncultured actinomycete. Its description in RNAcentral is "bacterial SSU rRNA". It matches the Rfam family "Bacterial small subunit ribosomal RNA", at positions 223 to 523 of the family's 1533-position model. The record is from RNAcentral. Lineage: Bacteria; Bacillati; Actinomycetota; Actinomycetes; Actinomycetales.
GGAUGAGCCCGCGGCCUAUCAGCUUGUUGGUAGGGUAAUGGCCUACCAAGGCUAAGACGGGUAGCUGGUCUGAGAGGACGACCAGCCACACUGGGACUGAGACACGGCCCAGACUCCUACGGGAGGCAGCAGUGGGGAAUAUCGCGCAAUGGGGGAAACCCUGACGCAGCGAUGCCGCGUGAGUGAAGAAGGCCUUCGGGUCGUAAAGCUCUGUCAAGCGGGAAGAAUAGUUCCGGGGCUAAUAUCCCCGGGAUGUGACGGUACCGCUGAAGGAAGCACCGGCUAACUACGUGCCAGCAGCCGCGGCCG